This is a long non-coding RNA of Calypte anna (Anna's hummingbird), 199 nucleotides long. RefSeq lists it as uncharacterized. NCBI's taxonomy places the organism in Eukaryota, Metazoa, Chordata, Aves, Apodiformes, Trochilidae. The record is from RefSeq and is a predicted model, not a curated record. The transcript is spliced from 3 exons.
CGGUCCCAAAGUGUGGAAGGUUUGUGUGGCACAAUACCGGCCAGAUGGGAAUCCUCUGCCAGACUCUCAGAAAGACCCAAAGUGGACACUGCACAUAAAGACUACAGAGCAGCACAGCAAACCCAGUUCCCUUCCAGCUGUGGCACCAGAGAAAGUGAAAGCUGUCACUUUUCUGGGGACUUCUUCCUUGGCUGCUGAG